This 23-nucleotide non-coding RNA is filed under the name Arabidopsis thaliana (thale cress). Lineage: Eukaryota; Viridiplantae; Streptophyta; Magnoliopsida; Brassicales; Brassicaceae. The record is from RNAcentral.
CUGUCCUCAGUGUUUGAUGUAGG